RNAcentral lists this non-coding RNA (31 nucleotides) under Homo sapiens (human). The record is from RNAcentral. Lineage: Eukaryota; Metazoa; Chordata; Mammalia; Primates; Hominidae.
UUUACAGAAGCCACAAUGUGGCUGCCGGUUC